Molecule: ribosomal RNA, 253 nt
Filed under: uncultured bacterium
Lineage: Bacteria
Description: partial 16S ribosomal RNA
Rfam family: Bacterial small subunit ribosomal RNA
Source: RNAcentral
UACGGGGGGGGCAAGCGUUGUUCGGAAUUACUGGGCGUAAAGGGCUCGUAGGUGGCCAACUAAGUCAUACGUGAAAUCCCUCGGCUUAACCGGGGAACUGCGUCUGAUACUGGAUGGCUUGAGGUUGGGAGAGGGAUGCGGAAUUCCAGGUGUAGCGGUGAAAUGCGCAGAUAUCAGGAGGAACACCAACGGCGAAGGCAGCACUCUGGGCCGGUACUGACGCUGAGGAGCGAAAGCGUGGGGAGCGAACAGG